RNAcentral lists this long non-coding RNA (879 nucleotides) under Equus caballus (horse). RNAcentral's name for it is "lncRNA (ENSECAG00000055550.1)". The record is from RNAcentral. Lineage: Eukaryota; Metazoa; Chordata; Mammalia; Perissodactyla; Equidae.
GCACACCAAAAAGGGAAGUCGUGGUGGCCAUGGUGAUGCCCUCUCCACAUCCCCUUUCUAAAAAGUACUUGCUGCCCCUUUAAGAAAGUUUGUUGUCUCAGCUGUGAGAGAUGCUUUGGCAGACAAGCUUCAGCUGGCAGCACCUUCAAGGAUGGCUUCAGCUCCACAGAACUUCCUCACCGAAGGUCGUGUCCUUCAGAGGGUAGCCCACAUCAAAUGACGGUGGAGGAGGGUAGACAUCUGUCAGACCAUUUCAGCCCAACAAAGGACAACUGUAAUGGGUUGUUUUAGCCCAAGCUUCCGCAUGAAGUUGGAACUGCUCCUACUGCCAGAUCCUUCUUCCUGCCUCCCCUUUCCAUGAGCGCUGAUGAGUCUUAGAGUCCAUCUCAGCGUCCUUCCCGGAGAACCCGACUCGUGAGACAUGGGUGGUUAAAAACACAUCUCUACAUCAGUAAUGACCUAGCUUCUCCACGUACUCAAGGAGGAUCAGGAGUAUGACUACAUUUCACUGUGCAGUGCCCCAAGGUCUUUCCAAGGUGAAUGUUGCCAGUGCCUAACCAGGUUCAACGAAUUUGCUGCUAUCCUGAGACUGAUUCUCAGUAGACACAAAGGACUGGCGCACACACUAUCAUAUGGCAGGAUGCGAUGGAAUGGGAAGGUCCUCAUUAUUUCCAAGAUAUUGUCCUAACAAUUGCUGGGUGCCCUCAAGAUUCUCCAAUGCCUCCAAUAUGUAAGCCUCAGGCCUAAGGGGAAACUACACAAUUCUGGACCAUGGCGGGGGAGUGAACUCAGCUGGAACAGGUUAAAAAUCCUACUCAAUCUCCAUGACUGAGUGACAACUGAGAGAUCAAAGAAACUUCAAAGCAAAGAGCAAAAAAG